RNAcentral lists this ribosomal RNA (497 nucleotides) under uncultured bacterium. Its description in RNAcentral is "bacterial SSU rRNA". It matches the Rfam family "Bacterial small subunit ribosomal RNA", at positions 44 to 507 of the family's 1533-position model. The record is from RNAcentral.
GUGCCUAAUACAUGCAAGUCGAGCGCAGGAAACAAGUAGAUCCCUUCGGGGUGACGCUUGUGGAAUGAGCGGCGGACGGGUGAGUAACACGUGGGCAACCUACCUUGUAGACUGGGAUAACUCCGGGAAACCGGAGCUAAUACGGGAUGAUCAUUUGAAUCGCAUGAUUGAAAUGUAAAAGUGGGGAGUAAUCCUCACACUAUGAGAUGGGCCCGCGGCGCAUUAGCUAGUUGGUAAGGUAAUGGCUUACCAAGGCAACGAUGCGUAGCCGACCUGAGAGGGUGAUCGGCCACACUGGAACUGAGACACGGUCCAGACUCCUACGGGAGGCAGCAGUAGGGAAUCAUCCGCAAUGGGCGAAAGCCUGACGGUGCAACGCCGCGUGAACGAUGAAGGUUUUCGGAUCGUAAAGUUCUGUUAUGAGGGAAGAACAAGUGCCGUUCGAAUAGGGCGGCACCUUGACGGUACCUCACGAGAAAGCCCCGGCUAACUACGUG